Long non-coding RNA from Felis catus (domestic cat), 6557 nucleotides. RefSeq lists it as uncharacterized. The transcript has 12 exons. The record is from RefSeq and is a predicted model, not a curated record. Lineage: Eukaryota; Metazoa; Chordata; Mammalia; Carnivora; Felidae.
CCACAGCCAGCCUGGAAACCGAAACGCUCACGUGAAGCCUGAAAGCCCAUGAAGGGAACGACUGCGACGCUGGGAUCCCGAGACGGGGCCUCCCCGCCUGGAGAGGCAGCCAGCGAGCGGCAGGUUCGGCGGCUGGGCAGCUGAGAGAGUCAUUACUGUGAUCUGUGGGACAUUCUAUACAUGAGCUGAUACUUCUCUUCCUUCUCCUCAGUCUCUAAGAAUGAGUCCAGACCCAUUCUGGGACUCAGAGAACUCUUUCUGGACCGUCUCUUCCCUCUCACCGCCAGCCACCAUCUCCCAUCCAUCAGUUUGAAAAGAAUAUCGUUAAAUGUCUUAGCUACUGCUGGUUGAGCUGCAGCUCUGGAAGCUCUCAUCUCUCCUCUUUGACAACGUUAUUCAAGAAAUGUUGUCUCUCGUACCAAAAGCAAACAACAACAGAAACUAAAACAAAAUGUUUGGAUUAUUUUACCCUUUUGGAUGAUCUUGAGGCUGUAUUGAAAGUAGAGAAGAGUGCUGUAAGGGGAAGGUAGACCAGAGAUAUGUACAGUAGCCGGUAUUUGCAAAGGGGCAGGAGAUGAGACAAGAAGAAAAAGAUUAUGGAAGAGAUACCCCAAGGAAACACCAUUCUAGGAAGAUUUUAUAUACAGGCAAUGCCACGGGAAAAAAUAAGGAGCGGCAACAUUUCAGGACUUCUUGGGUGGAAGAAAGUUGGCAGAGAGAAAGUCCACGGUUAAUGAAGUUAGUGUUGUCUCCAGGAUUAAGAAAACAUGCUUCCUCUAAUAAAUCAAAGAUCAUCAGAGGGAGCUGCUUAUUCCACGAUUCCCAAGACAGCUUCAUCCAGACACUGGCCAUGAGGAAAGGUGAGAUUUGAAUUUUGAUCCCACCAGUGAGCUGGAGGCACAACGGAAUGGCAGCCUAGAACAAGCAGUAUAAGAAAAGCACCAUUUAUGGGCAGGUGUUGGCUGGGCUCCAUGAAGGCCUUUCAGGGCUACACAUGGAAGGCACUCCUGGUGUAUCUCCGGGAACGCAGGAGAUCCCUACCAAGCAGGUAGUCAAAUUCCAAGCCUCACGCCCCACCUGCCCCUUGUGAGCUAUCUUGCCCAACUACUCCAGAAAAUAGUUGCUGAAAGGCACCACCUGCUGAAGCCCUACAGAAGAUUCUGCCCUCCCUGCCCAAUGAAGUAGAAUGCUCCUUUGGAGUCGUCUCAGACCUGGCAUUUUGAAAUAAAGGCUCAUUCAUGGUGCCUUUGUUGAUUUUCUUCCACAUGUAGCUUAUGUUUCGUUUUUUCUAAGUUUAAGAAAUAUUUUUCACAAAUGGCAGAAUAUCUUGUUUUUCAAACCAUCUGUCACUGCUUUGAAAAUAAUCAUUUGAGAGAACAAUGACAGAUUACGAUUACUAAUAAGAAAGCAAAUGAUUUCACAUGCCCACAAAUCAGGGAUGGAGUUCAGGAUCCCUAAAAUAUGGCACCUUGGCAUAUUGAAUAUGUCAAGUUGAAGGUGUUCGAAAAAAUGGCAGAGGCAGCAACAUCACUCUGACUUCCUUGCCUGCUUGCUCUUCUAUCCUGAAGCAGAUCAAUAAAACACUCAUGAGAGGGGUGCCCCUCUGUGGUCCCCAGGAAAGGACCAUCCUUAUCUCUGAGAACAAAGGGGUGUCAAGAAGAAUCUUGACAUGCGGGGCUCGCUAAGUUUUCCCCAGUUCACUACCAUUAUCCUGUACUCCUUAACCUAUCGUAUUUCUCCAGAACUGUCCACUCAUCACACCUAGCACUUAAAGUGCAUGGGUUUCUGUUCCUUUGGGUCUUCAUUUCCUUAUGGAGGCUCCGGGUCACAUCAAAUGUACAUUAAAUAAAUGCCAUAUGCUUUCCUAUACUGUUCACCUGUCUUUGUCAGUUUAAUUUUCACACCCAGCUAGGAACCAACCCUAAGAGGGUUGAGGAAAAUAUUUCCUCCUCUACAUCAGCUUAGAUGUAGACUCUGGGAGAUGCCAGAUUUAGAAUUAAUUUCUAGAAGUCCCUUACAACAAACUCUUCCAGUUGGUUAAAUGUUUCCAUUAAAAGUCAAGUAACCGCUGGCACUCUUCACAGACAUUAUAAAAAGGUGUGAUGUGGAAACAAAGUGAGUAAACAAAAUCACAGCUGCCCUAGGAGAGGCUCAGAGAUCUUGUAAGUCAAAGAUGCUAUAGACCAGGGAUCACCAGACUGAGAUCCACAUGCUGAAUUCAGCUGGCCUCCUGUUUGUUUUUGCCUAUGAGUUAAGAAUGGUUUUCACAUUUUCUAAUGGUUGGGGAAAACAUGAAAAGAAUAACCAUAUUUUAUGACCUGUAAAUGUUAUAUGAAAUUCAAAAUUCAGUAACCAUAAAUAAAGCUGUAUUGGAGCACAGCCACAUCCAUUUGUUUGCCCAUAGUAGGUCUGCUUUUGCUCUGCAGGAACAGAGCUGAGUAGUUGGGAAAAAGACCACUGGCUCCCAAUGCCAAACAUCUUGACUACCUGGCCUUUUAUGAAAAAAGCUGGCUGACGCCGAGUAUAGACCAUUGGAAUUAUAGAUGGCCAUUAGAGUCCAAUUUUCAAAGCUCAUUUUCAUUUGUUUGUUUUGGUGACAUAAGAAAUUGCUUAUAUUACAGAGUUAAGGAAAUAAAAGCACCAUGGGAAAUUAUAUACAGUGUAAUAUUGGUUAUGUAAAAUCAAAAUGUGUAAAUUACGUAAAAAAAGAAAUAUGCUUAGAUGUUAACAGUACUUGACUUUAGAUUGAAAUUUACACAUUCUGUCCCCUGCUUUUCUCUGUUCUUUUGGGAUGUCUACAAACUAGAAAAUCGGAAGAAAGUAUUGAAAACAAUUUUAAGUGGAACCAAUUUGUAUGACAAUCUGUAAAAUUGUUUCUACACUUUGGUUCUGGUACAUUAAACACGGGACAUAGUUUAUAACUAUAUUCUGCUAAUUAAGGCUCCAAAGACCACAUCUAGAUAACUUCAUCUCCCAAAAUCUACGUAACACAUUUUUUUUUCCAAAAUAACUCUUAAGUUAUUAAAUACCCUUAAUAAAAAUCUGAGUACAAUUCUAAUGUUUCUGUAUCUUAUGAAUAAAGUAAACAUUAUGUUUCUGUUAUUUUGCUAAACUGGGAAAUGUAUUGCUAAUGAAUCAGCUAAAAAUUGUAAAUUUUGAAUGAAGAAUGUAGUUGUUGGAGUUAAGGAAUACGUUUUAAGUUUCAAAUGAUUUAUUUGACUGUUUAGUUAUGUAUGGAGAAAAUCCAUUUAUAUAAAUAUUAAUUUUGUGGUAAGAAUUUUCCAUUUUCAAUUUUUUUUUUAAUGAAAGAGGACAAAAAAAACCCCUCUAAAGUCAAGCUCUUUGCUAUAACUCAAGCACACUUAGAAGGAUAUGGUUCCAACAGAUGCUUACCUAUUUGGAAAUGAAAUACGGAGAUAGAUGUACAUGAAGAUUGAUAAAGAUGUGCAUAUAUGUGCAUAUAUUCAAGGCCAGGUAACUCUACAGAUUUAUGCAUGAUUAAUUUAAGUUAAAAGAAUUGUACCUAUUUUCUGAUCAUGAUUUGCACUGUCAGUAAUUUUGUAAAUGGCUAUCUGGAGAGGACGUUUGUUAUUGGCGAGGCUGAUGUAUUAGGCCUUUUUGAUCAUUCUUCAUUUACAAAGCAUUUGUUUGCCCCCGUUUGCUUGUGGCAGAUUGAAGCAAACAGAAACAGGCUUUCAAAUCAUUAUAAAGCCAAGUAGUUUUGCAGCGAAAUACGUGAUGAACAGAACUUUAGAAAGCCGACUAAGAAGUUAGAUGGGUCUAACAAAAGCUGGUCCUUCUUCCAAAAUACAAUCAUCACUUCUUAAUUAUUCUGUCUUUUUUUUUCAUCUUCUUUACAAUUUCUAUAUUCCUUUUUGUGCUAUUAAAGAACACAGUGGUAUUGGGGGGAAGAAAAUAGGUCAAAAAAUGAAACAGAUUGUUGUCCCAAUGUUCGCCGCAAGUAACUCAAAUACCUAAACCUUAUGAAUGAAAGAGUAUUCAGUUACAUUAGGCCAUGCACUUAUGUUUAAGGGAGAUCAUUAGCUUGUAAAAACAGCUCAUUAAAAUGUUGAUUUUGUUUUUCCUUCAUCUUAUUAGAACAGGCAUGAAAAUGCAUGAUACGUAACGAUACUACACUCUUCUGUAUACCGGGCACGCAUUCUCUCUGAACUUUGAAUCAAAACCCCAGAAUUCUCAAUUGAAGUCAGCACAUGAGAUGGACCAGAUCCAUGCUUUGGAUGGGAGCUCUUCAGGGGCAAGGAGUCAGGGGCAAGGAAGGACUCCUUGCAUUCAUCCAGAAGCCUCUAGCUAGAGUUACAUUAACAAUGCAAGCUAACACCUAGGCGGUGUGUACCAUGUCCCAGACACUUCCCUAAGAACUGUCAUUAAUACCUUGUGGAUGCCUCACAACAGCCAAAUGCUACUAGGGAUAUAACCCCCAUUUCACAGAUGAAAACACAAGCCCAGCAAGGUUUGGUAAGUGUGCCCAAGGCACACAGCUGUCAGAGAAGCAGAGUUCCAACCCAAAUUCCAGCCCGGCUCCGGCAUGGGGGCAGCUAACCCUGCAUAGCGCGGCCUCUUGAGCAUGUGGCUGUUGCUUCUUAAGUGUUGAAAGAGAGAAAAGAGCCAUAAAUGUGUGCUUCUACUUGUGGAAGGAAGCACAUGUGCUCAAUAGAUUUGCUCUUAAAAGCACCUGUUCCUAAUAGUCCCCACCCAUGUCCGCCUUACCCCAACCUCCAUUUAGUGCCUUUCUCCCCAUUGUUCUCUGGAAGCAACACCGUAACAUCCGCUAAUUACUAUUAAUCCUAAUUCAUUAGUUUCCAUUGGCUAUCUAACCUUUUGAAAAAUGUUCUAUUUAAAGGAUAAAUUAAGUGUCAUCCCAGAGGCAUCAAUUACCAGUAGGAAAGGUUUUGGGGUGAGGGCUCAAGGCCCCUCUGUAGCACUACUCCUAAAAUCAAGCCACCAAAAGACCAUUCAUACUUAAUGUGACCCAUUGCUCAUGGGAAGCAUAGGGGACAAGAUACCAAGACCAGUAAUAAGCUUAGGGACUCACAAAAGUGUUUUAAAUUAUUUUAAAACCAGAAAAAAAGCACUUCAAGGUCAAAAAGAAGCUUUAUGUUUUCUUUUAUUUUCAUAACAAAUGUAGUUGUAAAAUACGAUUUUACGUUCCUCGCUCUCCUUCCCUCUCCCUCUCUCCUCCUCCCUCCUCGCUCACCCCUUCCUUCAUUUCUCUACUUCUUUAUUUAAUGAAAGAAGAGAGCUAUGAAGGCAGAAAUGCUUAGGGUCACUAAAGUCAGAAUGUGGCUGGUUGGGGAGGAGAAAGCAACUCUUCACUUAUAUGCAUUCAUUUUCUCCUAACAAAUUAAUUGAAUCUAAGAGAAAACACAAAUAGCAACAACAACAACAAGAACAAAACCACAAAGCAAACACCUUUUUGAUCUUAUGAAUAGCUGAAUCUAAGAAUACAGUAAUUUUUUCUUAUAAAAUGAUCUCUGUGGUUUCAUAGAGAAUGGAUAUAGCCUCUUCCUAUGCUUUAUUUCACAAGUAACUUGGAGAUUGGGAGAGCUUAUUUUUCUCUUUGUGCCUUGGUUAUUCUACUCAAUAGCUACAAUGGGUUAGCCAGUAGCAACAGGAGUAACAUUUUAUUUGGGUGUUGCAAAUUAUAACUUUCUGAUUUUGUUCAGGGGGAAAUAAUUUUGUUUCUGUGCAACCUGUCAUGUGAUUAUUUUAAGUAACUUUCAGUUGUUAAAAUAAGAACCAUUUUGAUAACUUGUCACAUAUUAACAAGUUAAUUAACAAAAUGUAAUUAACAAAAUUAACAAAAAUGUAAUGCUAAAAUAGUAACAACACCCAAAGGUUUAGCUACUAAGUUUUGAGGUGCUAAAUCAUUAGCCUUCUCAGAAGUCCUGCGCCAUUAAGAGAAUGGGCUUUGGGAUGUUAUAGACCAGGACUUCCAGAUUUGUUCUGUCCAGUACAGUCACCACUAGUCACAUAUGGCUGCUGAAAUUUAAUUUAAAUUAAUCAAAAUUAAUGAAUUUCCGCAGUCACACUAGCCACAUUUCAAGUGCUCAGUACUCUCAUAUAGAAUGUGGCCACCAUAUUGGAAAUGGCAAAUACAAAGCAUUUCCAUCAUUACAGAAGGUUCUAUUGGACUUGAUUGGAGGUUGGCACAUAAAUAGUUUAGGCUUUGUAGGUAGGAUAUAUGGUGUUUGUUGUAACUACUUAACUCUGUCAUUGUAGUGGAAAAGCAACUGUAGACAGUAUAUAAACAAAUGGGUGUGGCUUUGUCCCAAUAAAAGUUUAUUUAAAAAAAUAGGCAGUGGGCUGGGUCUGGCUAAGAUAUGUAAUUUGCCACCUCUGGACUAGAUUAUCCAUGCAGGGCACUAAACACUGCAUUGGACACAAAAUAAGCAGUCAAUAAAUAGUAUUAUUUUCUUGAGUUUUUUUGAAAAAUAAGAAAAGUAACUAAAAGGCAGGAAAUAACUAAAAAGCCCAAUAGUUUUUGGUGUGUUCCAGAAACAUAAUAGCUGUAAUACUUAAUGCUGUAAAAAAAAAAA